RNAcentral lists this ribosomal RNA (408 nucleotides) under uncultured bacterium. Its description in RNAcentral is "bacterial SSU rRNA". It matches the Rfam family "Bacterial small subunit ribosomal RNA", at positions 29 to 433 of the family's 1533-position model. The record is from RNAcentral.
AUUGAACGCUGGCGGCGUGCCUAACACAUGCAAGUCGAGCGGUAACAGGUGUAGCAAUACAUGCUGACGAGCGGCGGACGGGUGAGUAACGCUUGGGAAUCUGCCUAUUAGUGGGGGACGAACCCGGGGAAACGUCGGGCGUAAUACCGCAUACGCUCUACGGAGGAAAGCCGGGGACCGCAAGGCCUGGCGCUAAUAGAUGAGCCCAAGUCGGAUUAGCUAGUUGGUAGGGUAAUGGCCUACCAAGGCGACGAUCCGUAACUGGUCUGAGAGGACGACCAGUCACACCGGAACUGAGACACGGUCCGGACUCCUACGGGAGGCAGCAGUGGGGAAUAUUGGACAAUGGGCGAAAGCCUGAUCCAGCGACGCCGCGUGGGUGAAGAAGGCCUGCGGGUUGUAAAGCCC